CCUACGGGUGGCUGCAGUGGGGAAUAUUGCGCAAUGGGCGCAAGCCUGAUGCAGCAAUGCCGCGUGUAUGAAGAAGGCUUUCGGGUUGUAAACUACUUUCAAGGGGGAAGAGCAGAAUACGGUACAUCUUGAAUAAGCCAGGGCUAACUACGUGCAAGCAGCCGGGGUAAUACGGAGGUGGCAGGCGUUGUCCGGAUUUACUGGGUGUAAAGGGCGUGCAGCCGGGGAGAUAAGUCAGAUGUGAAAUCCCGGGGCUCAACCGCGGAACUGCAUUUGAAACUGUCUUGCUUGAGUACCGGAGAGGUGAGUGGAAUUCCUUGUGUAGCGGUGAAAUGCGUAGAGAUAAGGAAGAACACCAGUGGCGAAGGCGGAUGACUGGACGGCAACUGACGGUGAGGCGCGAAAGCGUGGGGAGCAAACAGGAUUAGAUACCCUGGUAGUC
This 442-nucleotide ribosomal RNA is filed under the name uncultured bacterium. RNAcentral describes it as "partial 16S ribosomal RNA". It matches the Rfam family "Bacterial small subunit ribosomal RNA", at positions 338 to 795 of the family's 1533-position model. The record is from RNAcentral.